UACGUAGGGGGCUAGCGUUGUUCGGAAUUACUGGGCGUAAAGCGCGUGUAGGCGGCCCUGCAAGUCGGAUGUGAAAUCCCACGGCUCAACCGUGGAAGUGCAUUCGAAACUGCAGGGCUAGAGUCCUGGAGAGGAAGGUGGAAUGCUUGGUGUAGAGGUGAAAUUCGUAGAUAUCAAGCGGAACACCGGUGGCGAAGGCGGCCUUCUGGACAGUGACUGACGCUGAGACGCGAAAGCGUGGGGAGCAAACAGG
This 253-nucleotide ribosomal RNA is filed under the name uncultured bacterium. Its description in RNAcentral is "partial 16S ribosomal RNA". It matches the Rfam family "Bacterial small subunit ribosomal RNA", at positions 524 to 776 of the family's 1533-position model. The record is from RNAcentral.